AAUUUUUCUGUGUAGAGGGCAAUGUCGAAGGAUGAGUGAGUCUUGGAGACAACAUUAUCUAACUGCCUCACGUUUUGAACCCUAGGCCUAGUCUACUGCUGCAUUUUGAACCCAUAGCUCAGGUUCCCUCUUCCUCCACCAUCUACUGUCAUCUUCCCUUCAGCUUCACCAGAGAACCCUGUAUAUCGCAGUUCCCUUUCAAUCUCAGGGGCGACAUUCAUAGUUCAAAAAAU
This 233-nucleotide unclassified non-coding RNA is filed under the name Hevea brasiliensis (rubber tree). Lineage: Eukaryota; Viridiplantae; Streptophyta; Magnoliopsida; Malpighiales; Euphorbiaceae. The record is from RNAcentral.